AAGUGUUACAGAUCCUUUAGAAUUUCUCUGGCAGGUUUUCCAGUUUUUACCAAAAAACUCUU
Molecule: non-coding RNA, 62 nt
Organism: Homo sapiens (human)
Lineage: Eukaryota; Metazoa; Chordata; Mammalia; Primates; Hominidae
Rfam family: U7 small nuclear RNA
About the family: Animal histone pre-mRNAs are spliced by a different mechanism than nuclear pre-mRNAs and self-splicing introns. This processing involves the U7 snRNP, which contains only one RNA species: U7. The 5' end of U7 RNA is thought to base-pair to a conserved spacer element downstream of the cleavage site in histone pre-mRNA.
Source: Rfam